GGGGCUGUAGCUCAGCUGGGAGAGCGCGUCGUUCGCAAUGACGAGGUCAGGGGUUCGAUCCCUCUCAGCUCCACCA
Molecule: transfer RNA, 76 nt
Filed under: Brucella abortus
Lineage: Bacteria; Pseudomonadati; Pseudomonadota; Alphaproteobacteria; Hyphomicrobiales; Brucellaceae
Also listed under: 132 other names
Description: tRNA-Ala (CGC) (tRNA-Ala-CGC-1-1)
Rfam family: tRNA
About the family: Transfer RNA (tRNA) molecules are approximately 80 nucleotides in length. Their secondary structure includes four short double-helical elements and three loops (D, anti-codon, and T loops).
Source: RNAcentral